RNAcentral lists this ribosomal RNA (159 nucleotides) under Golovinomyces magnicellulatus. Its description in RNAcentral is "5.8S ribosomal RNA". It matches the Rfam family "5.8S ribosomal RNA". From Rfam's summary of the family: 5.8S ribosomal RNA (5.8S rRNA) is a component of the large subunit of the eukaryotic ribosome. It is transcribed by RNA polymerase I as part of the 45S precursor that also contains 18S and 28S rRNA. Functionally, it is thought that 5.8S rRNA may be involved in ribosome translocation. The record is from RNAcentral. RNAcentral also lists the same sequence under 1 other name. Lineage: Eukaryota; Fungi; Ascomycota; Leotiomycetes; Helotiales; Erysiphaceae.
AAACUUUCAACAACGGAUCUCUUGGCUCUGGCAUCGAUGAAGAACGCAGCGAAAUGCGAUAAGUAAUGUGAAUUGCAGAAUUUAGUGAAUCAUCGAAUCUUUGAACGCACAUUGCGCCCCUUGGUAUUCCGAGGGGCAUGCCUGUUCGAGCGUCGUCAC